This 407-nucleotide ribosomal RNA is filed under the name uncultured prokaryote. Its description in RNAcentral is "bacterial SSU rRNA". It matches the Rfam family "Bacterial small subunit ribosomal RNA", at positions 355 to 774 of the family's 1533-position model. The record is from RNAcentral.
UGGGGAAUAUUGCACAAUGGGCGCAAGCCUGAUGCAGCGACGCCGCGUGGGGGAUGACGGCCUUCGGGUUGUAAACCUCUUUCAGUACAGACGAAGCGCAAGUGACGGUAUGUACAGAAGAAGCACCGGCCAACUACGUGCCAGCAGCGGCGGUAAUACGUAGGGUGCGAGCGUUGUCCGGAAUUACUGGGCGUAAAGAGCUCGUAGGUGGUUUGUCGCGUUGUUCGUGAAAACUCACAGCUUAACUGUGGGCGUGCGGGCGAUACGGGCAGACUGGAGUACUGCAGGGGAGACUGGAAUUCCUGGUGUAGCGGUGGAAUGCGCAGAUAUCAGGAGGAACACCGGUGGCGAAGGCGGGUCUCUGGGCAGUAACUGACGCUGAGGAGCGAAAGCGUGGGGAGCGAACA